UACGUAGGUGGCAAGCGUUGUCCGGAUUUAUUGGGUUUAAAGGGUGCGUAGGCGGCCUAUUAAGUCAGUUCUGAAAUAUCCCGGCUUAACCGGGAGGGUGGGAUUGAUACUGAUGGGCUUGAGUGGAUUCGAGGUAGGCGGAAUUGACGGUGUAGCGGUGAAAUGCUUAGAUAUCGUCAAGAACACCGAUAGUGUAGACAGCUUACUAGACUUCAACUGACGCUGAGGCACGAAAGUGUGGGGAUCAAACAGGAUUAGAUACCCCUGUAGUCC
This 273-nucleotide ribosomal RNA is filed under the name uncultured bacterium. Its description in RNAcentral is "partial 16S ribosomal RNA". It matches the Rfam family "Bacterial small subunit ribosomal RNA", at positions 524 to 796 of the family's 1533-position model. The record is from RNAcentral.